RNAcentral lists this long non-coding RNA (227 nucleotides) under Homo sapiens (human). Its description in RNAcentral is "HSALNT0313048". Lineage: Eukaryota; Metazoa; Chordata; Mammalia; Primates; Hominidae. The record is from RNAcentral.
AACCAGUCCAAGGAAUAUCUCACCAAUUUUAAAUUGGCUUAGCAGCUGAAGACUGAGGCUGCCCGAACACCUCAGAAGCCUCCUGGACCAUCACAGAUGCUUACAGUGGAGGACAGCAAUGUCAGACCUCUGAACCCAAGCAUGCACGUAUUCAUCCAGAUUGCCUGAAGUAACUGAAGAAUGACAAAAGAAGUGAAAAUGGCCAGUUCCUGCCUUAAUUGAUGACA